Molecule: long non-coding RNA, 1079 nt
Organism: Heterocephalus glaber (naked mole-rat)
Lineage: Eukaryota; Metazoa; Chordata; Mammalia; Rodentia; Bathyergidae
Source: RefSeq, a predicted model, not a curated record
GCUGGGGAGGCGCGGGCCCCGCGAGUGCAGGAGAGCCGGCCCGGCCCGGCCCGCUGGGCAGUCCCCAGUCGCCGGCCGCACGUGCUCCCUGGAGGGCCUCCGAGCCCCCCAACCUAAGCCUGUAGGCGCCAAGCCUCUUCCGUGCUCGCACCCGCUCCGGGGAAGAGGAAACCCAACGCCCCACCAGCUCGGCAGGUGCUGGGGACACGUGGAAAAGUCAGCCUGGCUCGGGCAUCCAACCCCAGCCGUGUGGUGGCCCCAUCUUCCGCAGACUGUGUUUGCGCGUGUCUCCCUCUAUCUGUUUCACGCAUACACGCAGUUGUAUCUUUUCCGGGAGCAAAGUGCUGGACUGGGAAGCUUUGGAUAUAGCUGAAGAAACAGAAAGUUCCUCUGCAUUGGGCUCGAGUGGGCUGAAACAGCAACAGCCACAGGUUAGCCUUGUUAAGAAAGAAUUCGCAGAAAGGACACACCACCGCCCUUCGAAUAAGCUCUUAAAGCACCCAGCGCACUGCUGUUUACAUAAGAUCUGUUACAUGAGACAAUCAGCUCAUUGAGUUGGAAACAGCUUCUGAAAACUCGCUUGCUGGGUGAAAUGGAAGAGGAAAGCUAACAGAAGAGCACCACAGAAGGAAAAUCAGAUGUAACAGCAUUCUUUCCACUUUAUUCAGCUCUGUGAUAGAGUGAGCCUGACUUCCAUACUUCACAAGUUCUAUUGUUCCCUUCCCCUAGUAUUUCAAAACUUCCACUUUUAGAGUUUAUUGCAGCAGGAACAUUCCUUGGAGGCAGAGCAGGGGGCAAAUUAGCUCUCUUAGCUUUAUCACUGAACUAACUGCUUUAGAAAGCAGCCUGAAAGCCUGAAGUCAGCAGAGGGGUGGAGUUUGAAGCGCCCGGCUUUCUUAAAGGGCCCACGUCAUGGUAAGCUUAAGAAUGUAUUGGUCUUCAAUAGGAUUUGCAGGAAAUCUGCAUUUUGACAUGGUACUUGUAGGCAAUAAUCCUGUUUGGAAGACUUUAGAGGAGAAGUCAUCUUCUAAAGCUUCCCUGCUGAUACAAAUGGGAAUAAAUUGGAGAAUUUUUUUUCA